GGAGGGGCGAUGGGCGCGGCUGAGCGCCGCCUCGGUGGGGCGCGGGGCUGAGGCGAGCGAGGUGGUGGACGGUUCUCUCGGCCCGGCGGCUCUCACUGGAAGACUUAAGACAUAGAAUUCCUUACAGGGACAUUUGUACUCCACAGCUUCUUUAGGAUGUUACAAUAUCCAUGUUGGAUUUCAAGGAACAGGAAAAUCUUCACACUAUAUUGUCACUACAAGACUAAAAACGUACUAAGCAAUCAAGUGUUAAGUAAAAUCCUGAAGGCCAAAAGAUGCAAGCCAUGAAACUUCAGCACACCGUUAUUCAACAAAGCGCUCGAGUUUUUCAUUGAGACUUGUGUGUGGACUUAACUGUUAGAGCUUACAACGCCUUGCAGGUAGCAGCAAAAGCUUAAAAUAAUGUUUUGCCCCACCGCCUAGCAGUGAGAUAGAAAGCACUGCUAUGCAACGCAAUGGUGGGAGAGUUUGGAAAUUGUUCCAGUGAGGAUGUCAGAGAAGUUGUUGAGAAAGAAUGGCUGAUGAAGAGCUGCCAAGCUGGAAUAUGAAAUAGCUUUUUAUAUUCCUUAGAAAGGUAACUGCUGCCUAACGCAUUGACCUUGGGCUGGAUUCCAGGUGUGAAAGGGUUUUGCUACGUCUUCUUCUCAACAUAAAGAGAAGUGACAGACGCAGAGGUAGCCAGGGAGCUGAGCAUGCACACAAGGGCAGUAGCUAUGACCUUGCCAUCUUUUGUGAAGAGGAGAAGACCCCAGCUAUGCAGGAAGGGCUGCUGGUCUUUGGUACUUAAUACACGGGUUAGAUGGAGCCCAGUGAUACCCCCAAAGCUGCUUUUCUUCCACUCUCAGGCAUUUGAGUUGGCAAGCUCAGCCUUUUUUACUUGUUGCAUUAAAAAUAAGCAAUCAAACUAUCUUAUCAACUUUUCCCUGUGAUCUUAUUCCUCGUGGUCUCCACUGAAUCAGACAUCAAUAAGGUGAGUUUUGCUCAGACUAGAAAGAGAUUUGUCUGCAAGCGCAGUUUAUGAUAAUUAGGGGAAAAACAAGUUGGACAGGAUGCUGAAGAGAAAAUUGAGGCCUGGUAAUACGUGCAAACAGGGAGAGCUGUUGUUGUUUUUCAUCUUAGUGUUUUGUUUUUCAGCAGCAGAAGCUGUUGCGUUUCGCUUCCUCCAAGCAGGAGCUAAUAAUGAGCUACCAAUAACGAUCUACCGUGUGGACUAAUAAGGAGGCUGUCUUGCUAUUUUGUCAAAGCAUUUUUUUUUUCCUGAAAAAAGACCCUUGCAUAUAAUGAAGUGCUGUAAGUGGAAUGCUGCUUGGUGUCUGGGGUGCUUGGUUGCUCCUCCUUUUUCUAAGACAGGUAGAAAAGUAUGCUGGAAUUGUAAAAAUGAGUGAUCAUUUUACAGUAGAAGCGAAAAACCUGACAUCGAUGUGCAAGCAAGAUACACUAAGUUAUACACUAAGUCUGGAAUGCUUUUCCCUUGAGUCCUCUCUAUCCUGGGAGAAGUGCUAUAUCAAGGCAAUCUCCAUUCACGCUUGUACUGCUGGACCAUCACAAAGCAGCUGAAGCAAACUGGCAAAACUCCCUUCAGAGGUUGUCGACCACAUGGCUGCACAGGACCCUGCAAUGCUGUGCUUAAAAAAGCAAUCAAAUUCAAGUCAGCUUGCUUGUUGUGGGUAUUUUCUGGGAACUGUUUAUUACCAUGCCACAUCUGCUGACCAAUUUUUGCAUAAUAAAC
Long non-coding RNA from Gallus gallus (chicken), 1729 nucleotides. The record is from Ensembl. Lineage: Eukaryota; Metazoa; Chordata; Aves; Galliformes; Phasianidae.